This is a long non-coding RNA of Hydra vulgaris (swiftwater hydra), 462 nucleotides long. RefSeq lists it as uncharacterized. The record is from RefSeq and is a predicted model, not a curated record. NCBI's taxonomy places the organism in Eukaryota, Metazoa, Cnidaria, Hydrozoa, Anthoathecata, Hydridae.
UACCAUUUGCAAUUUGUAUUUUUCAUUAAAACAAAUUUUACUUUUAGUUCCAUCUGUACCACCUUCAAACAGUAAAUUUAUGAAUCUGGAAUGUCUCUGAUUGAUUAUUGAGUUCCUCUUAUUCCUAUUUAUAUUAUCUAUUUAAUACUUUUGUGUUUUAUUAUAUGAAGCUUAUAGGUCAUUUCGAACUUAAAAUUAAAAUCAUUUACUAAAAGCCAAGACAUAGAGUAAUUACUAUGUUUCAAAACAUUUUUAUUUUUUAAUUUUUUUUAUUAGGUUGGUGGGUUAAAUAUGAUCAUUUAAAUGAGAAAAUGUAUACUAGUGCAAUUUGUAAUGUGGGUGUUAUAACAUCACAACCACAUCUAUGGCCAACUCUAAGGUCACGUUAUUUUGUUUGGCAGUGUUUUGGAAUCAAGUUAUGGCAAAAUUUUGUGUAUAAAAUAUAACAAUUACAUUUAAAAA